This 348-nucleotide unclassified non-coding RNA is filed under the name soil metagenome. RNAcentral's name for it is "partial contains 5.8S ribosomal RNA, internal transcribed spacer 2, and large subunit ribosomal RNA". The stretch from base 1 to 120 matches the Rfam family "5.8S ribosomal RNA", at positions 35 to 154 of the family's 154-position model. The record is from RNAcentral.
GAUGAAGAACGUAGCGAAAUGCGAUAAGUAAUGUGAAUUGCAGAAUUCAGUGAAUCAUCGAGUCUUUGAACGCACAUUGCGCCCCCUGGUAUUCCGGGGGGCAUGCCUGUCCGAGCGUCAUUGCCGCCCUCAAGCACGGCUUGUGUGUUGGGCCCCCGCCCCCCGGCUUCGGGGGGCGGGCCCGAAAGGCAGCGGCGGCACCGCGUCCGGUCCUCGAGCGUACGGGGCUUCGUCACCCGCUCUGUAGGCCCGGCCGGCGCCCGCCGGCGACCCCAAUCAAUCUUUCCAGGUUGACCUCGGAUCAGGUAGGGAUACCCGCUGAACUUAAGCAUAUCAAUAAGCGGAGGA